This 478-nucleotide long non-coding RNA is filed under the name Nicotiana benthamiana. RNAcentral's name for it is "long non-coding RNA (NBEN_LNC019473)". Lineage: Eukaryota; Viridiplantae; Streptophyta; Magnoliopsida; Solanales; Solanaceae. The record is from RNAcentral.
ACUGCUCUAAGGCUACUGUAUGUCUCUUCACUGCUUAAUUAGGAAAGAUAUUACUCAUUUUUGUUUGAUAUGAUCAUUUGAAAAGAAUCAAUAGUUUGGACAAAACUAAUGGCCCAUUACUCAUUUUUGUUUGAUAUGAUAAUUUGAAAAGAAUCAACAGUUUGGACAAAACUAAUGGCCUUCAUGUGCUCAUUGUCGUAUUCUAUAUAGUAAAGGUUGCUAUGAGGAGGUCGUUGUGCUAGUGAAGAUUGCUUCCAAUUAUCCGGAUUUGAAAUAAAUGCAGAAAACAUAAAAUUGUAACAGUGUAUGGAUGGACACAAAGUUUGAAGUAUUAAUUUUACUCAUGUAUAUUAUUUUUGCUAAUUGAACGAAUAUUUAAAUAAUGGUUAAGAAAAUAGUUUGUUAGAGAAAACUAAUUUUUAAAUUGUCUUUAUUUAGAAAUGAUGUCUUAUCUUUAUCACAAGAAGUUACAUAAACA